RNAcentral lists this ribosomal RNA (757 nucleotides) under Streptomyces sp. RNAcentral's name for it is "bacterial SSU rRNA". It matches the Rfam family "Bacterial small subunit ribosomal RNA", at positions 89 to 858 of the family's 1533-position model. The record is from RNAcentral. Lineage: Bacteria; Bacillati; Actinomycetota; Actinomycetes; Kitasatosporales; Streptomycetaceae.
GGAUUAGUGGCGAACGGGUGAGUAACACGUGGGCAAUCUGCCCUUCACUCUGGGACAAGCCUUGGAAACGAGGUCUAAUACCGGAUAACACUCCCAUUCUCCUGGAUGGGGGUUAAAAGCUCCGGCGGUGAAGGAUGAGCCCGCGGCCUAUCAGCUUGUUGGUGAGGUAAUGGCUCACCAAGGCGACGACGGGUAGCCGGCCUGAGAGGGCGACCGGCCACACUGGGACUGAGACACGGCCCAGACUCCUACGGGAGGCAGCAGUGGGGAAUAUUGCACAAUGGGCGAAAGCCUGAUGCAGCGACGCCGCGUGAGGGAUGACGGCCUUCGGGUUGUAAACCUCUUUCAGCAGGGAAGAAGCGAAAGUGACGGUACCUGCAGAAGAAGCGCCGGCUAACUACGUGCCAGCAGCCGCGGUAAUACGUAGGGCGCAAGCGUUGUCCGGAAUUAUUGGGCGUAAAGAGCUCGUAGGCGGCUUGUCACGUCGAUUGUGAAAGCUCGGGGCUUAACCCCGAGUCUGCAGUCGAUACGGGCUAGCUAGAGUGUGGUAGGGGAGAUCGGAAUUCCUGGUGUAGCGGUGAAAUGCGCAGAUAUCAGGAGGAACACCGGUGGCGAAGGCGGAUCUCUGGGCCAUUACUGACGCUGAGGAGCGAAAGCGUGGGGAGCGAACAGGAUUAGAUACCCUGGUAGUCCACGCCGUAAACGGUGGGCACUAGGUGUGGGCAACAUUCCACGUUGUCCGCGCCGCAGCUAACGC